UACGGAGGGUGUAAGCGAUCGUCGGAAUCACUGGGCGUAAAGGGCGCGUAGGCGGUCUAGCAAGUCUGGUGUGAAAGCCCAGGGCUCAACCCUGGAAGGGCACUGGAAACUGCUAGGCUUGAGUUCCGGAGAGGAGGGGGGAAUUCCCGGUGUAGCGGUGAAAUGCGUAGAUAUCGGGAGGAAUACCGGUGGCGAAGGCGACCCUCUGGACGGAGACUGACGCUGAGGCGCGAAAGCGUGGGGAGCAAACAGG
Molecule: ribosomal RNA, 253 nt
Filed under: uncultured bacterium
Lineage: Bacteria
Description: partial 16S ribosomal RNA
Rfam family: Bacterial small subunit ribosomal RNA
Source: RNAcentral